This 482-nucleotide ribosomal RNA is filed under the name uncultured bacterium. Its description in RNAcentral is "partial 16S ribosomal RNA". It matches the Rfam family "Bacterial small subunit ribosomal RNA", at positions 28 to 523 of the family's 1533-position model. The record is from RNAcentral.
GACGAACGCUGGCGGCGUGCUUAACACAUGCAAGUCGAACGAUGAAGAAGAGCUUGCUCUUCGGAUUAGUGGCGAACGGGUGAGUAACACGUGACUAACCUGCCCCUUUCUCUGGGAUAACGCUCCGAAAGGAGUGCUAAUACCGGAUACUCACAUCGAGGCACAUGCCUUGAUGUGGAAAGUUUUUCGGAAAGGGAUGGAGUCGCGGCCUAUCAGCUUGUUGGUGAGGUAACGGCUCACCAAGGCGACGACGGGUAGCCGGCCUGAGAGGGCGACCGGCCACACUGGGACUGAGACACGGCCCAGACUCCUACGGGAGGCAGCAGUGGGGGAUAUUGCACAAUGGGCGAAAGCCUGAUGCAGCGACGCCGCGUGAGGGAUGAAGGUCUUCGGAUUGUAAACCUCUUUCAGUAGGGGCGAAGCGAAAGUGACGGUACCUAAAGAAGAAGCACCGGCUAACUACGUGCCAGCAGCCGCCGCAG